Molecule: microRNA, 23 nt
Filed under: Scyliorhinus torazame (cloudy catshark)
Lineage: Eukaryota; Metazoa; Chordata; Chondrichthyes; Carcharhiniformes; Scyliorhinidae
Description: Sto-Mir-375_5p* (star (passenger))
Source: RNAcentral
ACGCCGAGCCAUACAAACAAUAC